GAUUCGGUUUCGCACGAGAUACCAUUAACUGUUGAAUUACAAUCAAAUAAAUAUUGCUGUUUAAUGCGACGCUUUCGGCUCAUUCAAAACACCGUUGGAAAUUCCACACACGAGCUGAAGAUUUCUUGUUACAACUUUCAAUUGGAGUUGCGCCCUGGGCUGGAGGCUUUCAAAUGUAGUGGCAGGUGUGAUGUUAUACACGUACAUACCUUGUGCCCCUGGAAAGCUGUUGAAACAUGGACAAGGUCAGCGGGCAGCAUGUCACCCGGAGCGCCGCCGAAGAUGAUCCAGCCAAGCAAUGCAAUGUGUGAUCUUCUGAUACCCUACAUUUAUGACUUUAAUUAAUUGUUCACUUUGAUCUGCUGCGAAUUGAUUAAUAGCAAUGGACUCACGAUAAGUUGGAACAAAGAUAUUUAUUUUGUUUCGAAAUUAGCUUAGCAAACAACAUCAAGCGUUGGCAACUGUUGUUAAUUGUUCAGAAUAAUAUUGCUAAAUAAGAAUGUGUGCAAAAUCUGAAGUAAGCUAAACAUUUAAUAUAGUUCACACCUAUGUAUCUAUGUGUAAGCAAACGAACUAGGAAAUAAAUGUCAUAAAAUGGUAUAUACAGUGCAUUUUCCUUCUUCUAAUAUUUCUGGAUGUU
Drosophila erecta is the source of this 640-nucleotide RNA transcript. RefSeq lists it as uncharacterized. Lineage: Eukaryota; Metazoa; Arthropoda; Insecta; Diptera; Drosophilidae. The transcript has 2 exons. The record is from RefSeq and is a predicted model, not a curated record.